UUUAAUUGAAACCAAAAAAGAGGUAUAUUACUGUUAAUGAUACUAUUGAGAUUUCCCCUCCAAUUAA
Molecule: transfer RNA, 67 nt
Filed under: Coleoptera sp. ACP-2013
Lineage: Eukaryota; Metazoa; Arthropoda; Insecta; Coleoptera
Description: tRNA-Asn
Source: RNAcentral